UACAGAGGGUGCGAGCGUUAUUCGGAAUUACUGGGCGUAAAGCGCACGUAGUCGGCUUUGCAAGUCGGGUGUGAAAUCCCCGGGCUCAACCUGGGAACUGCAUCCGAGACUGCAUUGCUAGAGUAUGGGAGAGGGAAGCGAAAUUUCUGGUGUAGCAGUGAAAUGCGUAGAUAUCAGAAGGAACAUCAGUGGCGAAGGCGGCUUCCUGGACCAAUACUGACGAUCAGGUGCGAAAGCGUGGGGAGCAAACAGG
Molecule: ribosomal RNA, 253 nt
Filed under: uncultured bacterium
Lineage: Bacteria
Description: partial 16S ribosomal RNA
Rfam family: Bacterial small subunit ribosomal RNA
Source: RNAcentral